GGAGGGUAUAGCUCAGUGGCAGAGUGUGUGCUUAGCAUGCACAAGGUCCUGGGUUCAAUCCCCAGUACCUCCA
RNAcentral lists this transfer RNA (73 nucleotides) under Vicugna pacos (alpaca). RNAcentral describes it as "tRNA-Ala (AGC) (tRNA-Ala-AGC-172-1, tRNA-Ala-AGC-172-2)". It matches the Rfam family "tRNA". Rfam says of the family: Transfer RNA (tRNA) molecules are approximately 80 nucleotides in length. Their secondary structure includes four short double-helical elements and three loops (D, anti-codon, and T loops). The record is from RNAcentral. Lineage: Eukaryota; Metazoa; Chordata; Mammalia; Artiodactyla; Camelidae.